RNAcentral lists this ribosomal RNA (350 nucleotides) under uncultured bacterium. Its description in RNAcentral is "bacterial SSU rRNA". It matches the Rfam family "Bacterial small subunit ribosomal RNA", at positions 917 to 1267 of the family's 1533-position model. The record is from RNAcentral.
GGGCCCGCACAAGCGGUGGAGCAUGUGGUUUAAUUCGAUGCAACGCGAAGAACCUUACCUACUCUUGACAUCCACAGAAUCUGGUAGAGAUACCUCAGUGCCUUCGGGAACUGUGAGACAGGUGCUGCAUGGCUGUCGUCAGCUCGUGUUGUGAAAUGUUGGUUAAGUCCCGCAACGAGCGCAACCCCUAUCCUUACUUGCCAGCGGGUAAUGCCGGGAACUUUAGGGAGACUGCCGGUGAUAAACCGGAGGAAGGUGGGGACGACGUCAAGUCAUCAUGGCCCUUACGAGUAGGGCUACACACGUGCUACAAUGGUCAGUACAGAGGGUUGCGAAGCCGCGAGGUGGAG